UUUUAGAAAUGAAAAAAUGGACUUUUGACGAGGCUAAAGAAAUCUUUAGCUUUUCGUUUAUGGAGCUGGUCUAUCAAGCUCAAACAAUACAUCGUGCUAAUUUUGAUCCUAAUAAGAUCCAAAUCAGCAGCCUCUUAAGCAUUAAAACAGGUAGUUGUCCUGAAAAUUGUAAAUUCUGUCCUCAAUCUUCUCACUAUAAAACUUAUGUAAAAAAAGAGCCUUUAAUGCAAAUUGAGGAUGUAAUUACGGCAGCAAAACGUGCUAAAGCAGCAGGUAGUACUCGCUUUUGUAUGGGAGCUGCGUGGCGUGGUCCACGUGAUGAGGAUUUAAAACUGGUUUGCGAGAUGAUUAAGG
RNAcentral lists this non-coding RNA (354 nucleotides) under Rickettsia felis Marseille-URRWFXCal2. RNAcentral's name for it is "Rickettsia felis URRWXCal2 Rickettsia sRNA 10". It matches the Rfam family "Rickettsia sRNA 10". The record is from Rfam by way of RNAcentral. Lineage: Bacteria; Pseudomonadati; Pseudomonadota; Alphaproteobacteria; Rickettsiales; Rickettsiaceae.